AGGACGAACGCUGGCGGCGUGCUUAACACAUGCAAGUCGAACGGUGAUCUCGGUGCUUGCACCGGGUGAUCAGUGGCGAACGGGUGAGUAACACGUGAGUAACCUGCCCCCGACUCUGGGAUAACCCCGGGAAAUCGGAGCUAAUACCGAUACGAGACGCACAGGCAUCUGUAGCGUCUGGAAAGAAUUUCGGUCGGGGAUGGACUCGCGGCCUAUCAGCUAGUUGGUGGGUAACGGCCCACCAAGGCGACGACGGGUAGCCGGCCUGAGAGGGCGACCGGCCACGCUGGGACUGAGACACGGCCCAGACUCCGUACGGGAGGCAGCAGGUGGGGAAUAGUUGCACAAGUGGGACAAAGCCUGAUGCAGCGACGCGCGUGGGAUGAAGGCGUUCGGGUUCGUAAACCCCGUUUGAGCGAAGGAGAAGACGAAGUGACGUACUGCGAGAAGA
This 451-nucleotide ribosomal RNA is filed under the name uncultured soil bacterium. RNAcentral describes it as "bacterial SSU rRNA". It matches the Rfam family "Bacterial small subunit ribosomal RNA", at positions 26 to 472 of the family's 1533-position model. The record is from RNAcentral.